This 427-nucleotide ribosomal RNA is filed under the name uncultured bacterium. RNAcentral describes it as "partial 16S ribosomal RNA". It matches the Rfam family "Bacterial small subunit ribosomal RNA", at positions 355 to 774 of the family's 1533-position model. The record is from RNAcentral.
UGGGGAAUAUUGCACAAUGGGCGCAAGCCUGAUGCAGCCAUGCCGCGUGUAUGAAGAAGGCCUUCGGGUUGUAAAGUACUUUCAGCGGGGAGGAAGGCGAUAAGGUUAAUAACCUUGUCGAUUGACGUUACCCGCAGAAGAAGCACCGGCUAACUCCGUGCCAGCAGCCGCGGGAAUACGGAGGGUGCAAGCGUUAAUCGGAAUUCCUGGGCGUAAAGCGCACGCAGGCGGUCUGUCAAGUCGGAUGUGAAAUCCCCGGGCUCAACCUGGGAACUGCAUUCGAAACUGGCAGGCUAGAGUCUUGUAGAGGGGGGUAGAAUUCCAGGUGUAGCGGUGAAAUGCGUAGAGAUCUGGAGGAAUACCGGUGGCGAAGGCGGCCCCCUGGACAAAGACUGACGCUCAGGUGCGAAAGCGUGGGGAGCAAACA